Molecule: non-coding RNA, 111 nt
Filed under: Paenibacillus sp.
Lineage: Bacteria; Bacillati; Bacillota; Bacilli; Caryophanales; Paenibacillaceae
Also listed under: 1 other name
Description: Guanine sequence
Rfam family: Purine riboswitch aptamer
About the family: Riboswitches are metabolite binding domains within certain messenger RNAs that serve as precision sensors for their corresponding targets. Allosteric rearrangement of mRNA structure is mediated by ligand binding, and this results in modulation of gene expression. A class of riboswitches that selectively recognises guanine and becomes saturated at concentrations as low as 5 nM.
Source: RNAcentral
CAGAAAACUACAUACUGUUCUCGUAUAACCUCGCAGCCAUUUGCUAUAUACAGGGCGAGGGUUUCUACAGGAAGCCUAUUCUUCCUAACUACGAUGACAAGGAUCAAAUGU